AUUGAACGCUGGCGGCAGGCCUAACACAUGCAAGUCGAGCGGAUGACGGGAGCUUGCUCCUUGAUUCAGCGGCGGACGGGUGAGUAAUGCCUAGGAAUCUGCCUGGUAGUGGGGGACAACGUUUCGAAAGGAACGCUAAUACCGCAUACGUCCUACGGGAGAAAGCAGGGGACCUUCGGGCCUUGCGCUAUCAGAUGAGCCUAGGUCGGAUUAGCUUGUUGGUGAGGUAAUGGCUCACCGAGGCGACGAUCCGUAACUGGUCUGAGAGGAUGAUCAGUCACACUGGAACUGAGACACGGUCCAGACUCCUACGGGAGGCAGCAGUGGGGAAUAUUGGACAAUGGGCGAAAGCCUGAUCCAGCCAUGCCGCGUGUGUGAAGAAGGUCUUCGGAUUGUAAAGCACUUUAAGUUGGGAGGAAGGGUUGUAGAUUAAUACUCUGCAAUUUUGACGUUACCGACAGAAUAAGCACCGGCUAACUCUGUG
This 484-nucleotide ribosomal RNA is filed under the name uncultured bacterium. Its description in RNAcentral is "partial 16S ribosomal RNA". It matches the Rfam family "Bacterial small subunit ribosomal RNA", at positions 30 to 507 of the family's 1533-position model. The record is from RNAcentral.